CGGCGAGUGAAGCGGGAAGAGCUCAAAUUUGAAAGCUGGCACCUUCGGUGUCCGCGUUGUAAUCUCGAGAAGUGUUUUCCGUGCUGGACCAUGUACAAGUUCCUUGGAAUAGGACGUCAUAGAGGGUGAAAAUCCCGUACUUGACAUGGACGCCCAGUGCUUUGUGAUACACUCUCCACGAGUCGAGUUGUUUGGGAAUGCAGCUCAAAAUGGGUGGUAAAUUCCAUCUAAAGCUAAAUAUUGGGGAGAGACCGAUAGCGAACAAGUACCGUGAGGGAAAGAUGAAAAGCACUUUGGAAAGAGAGUUAAACAGUACGUGAAAUUGUCGAAAGGGAAGCGCUUGAAGUUAGACAUGCUUGUCGGGAUUCAGCCUUGCUUUUGCUUGGUGUAUUUCCCGGUGUGCAGGCCAGCAUCAGUUUUGUUUGCCGGAUAAGGGUGAGAGGAAUGUGGCCCCUCGGGGUGUUAUAGCCUCUCACUGGAUACGGCGGAUGGGACUGAGGACCGCAGUGUGCCUUUAUGGCGGGCCUUCGGGCACCUUCACACUUAGGAUGCUGGCGUAAU
This 561-nucleotide ribosomal RNA is filed under the name Quambalaria pitereka. RNAcentral describes it as "eukaryotic LSU rRNA". It matches the Rfam family "Eukaryotic large subunit ribosomal RNA", at positions 87 to 635 of the family's 3401-position model. Lineage: Eukaryota; Fungi; Basidiomycota; Exobasidiomycetes; Microstromatales; Quambalariaceae. The record is from RNAcentral.